RNAcentral lists this long non-coding RNA (2386 nucleotides) under Mus musculus (house mouse). RNAcentral describes it as "long non-coding RNA chr14:46870451-46872837". Lineage: Eukaryota; Metazoa; Chordata; Mammalia; Rodentia; Muridae. The record is from RNAcentral.
UAAGAAGGAGCCUUGGGAACUCCUGCGGCAAUUUUUAAUUGAGUGAUAUGACCAUAUUUACAUCUUAGGAAUCCGAGCUUUGGAGGUGGCUCAAGAUAUGAUAUUGGGAAAUAGUUAGAAUUCAUGGUUAUUUUUACCUACACAGAUGUUGAAUUUUACUAAUGUCAGAUUGGCCGUGGACCGUGCCCAACACUUAUAAAGGAACACAUACACUGGCAGAAGUGCUUAGCAUUUGAAGUGGGAGUUUGAGGCAGAAAAAGGAGGAUUUAGAUAAUAUUGCAGUAUCCCAGAUGAGAAGAUUAAGGGUCUAAACAUUUCGUUGUUGGCCUUGUAAUGAGUGGUCUAAUUUAUCAACUGUCUCAUCUAAGGAUAAUCAUUUUAAGGACACUGUGUGCUUCUGGCUUGGCAGAGGGAGCGACUGUGAACUUGGGAGCGCAUGUCUACUGCUUUGACUUGAGUCUGGUUUCCAAUGUCUCAUGUGUUCAAAUUUAAGCCCUCAAAGGAAGGCUUUAAGUGGUCAGGGAUUUAAUCCAACUAUGGUAUUUAAAGGUGGAGCCUUUGAAAAGGAUUAGGACAAAUAAACUCCUCAAGAUUGAAUUGUGGUGGCUUUCUAAACAAAAAAAAAAAAGGUAGGAUCCAGGCGGUGGUGGCGCACGCCUUUAAUCCCAGCACUUGGGAGGCAGAGGCAGGCGGAUUUCUGAGUUCGAGGUCAGCCUGGUCUACAAAGUGAGUUCCAGGACAGAUAGGCUAUACAGAGAAACCCUGUCUCGAAAAACCAAAAAUCAAAAAAAGGUAGGAAAAGAGAUCAGAGAACACACAUGCAUGCAUGCAUACACAUACACACACACACACACACACACGCACACACACACACACACACACACACACACACACACACACACACACACAUACACAUAUACACACUCCUAGCCUUGUACCACAUGAUGCAUGAACUGCCUGGAUGUUCAUCAAAGCUACCAUCAGAUGUGAGCCCUUAGAACUUUAGAAGCUGUGGGCUAAAAUAUCUUAUUUUCCCACUAAAGGUUCAGUAUAGUGACAACAGCAGCAGAAGGACUGCUGUGUCCAUUCUUCCAUUUAACUGUUGGCCCUGGUAACUGUUGGUCCUGGUGGUUAGGUUCCAUCUUAUUUGUGCCUAUAUUGUAUUUACUCAGUCAUUCAAUAACCCAUCUACUCAUUCAUUCAUUCAUUCAUUCGACACUCUACUUUGACCUAUCUGCAGUUCUGGAAAGGACAAGAUACCAGAGGUCUUUGCCCUCCUGGGACCUGGGGCAACUUUAGUUGCAGUAGUACCAGAGAAAGCCUUUCUGAAAUCACUUGAGUUCUGAGUAUUUAGAGACAAUGGCCUUAUAAGAGACCAGUCACAGCGGUUUGCUUAAAGGACAGACGGUGUGAAGACCAGAGGGAAGAAAGACCUGUGUGGUGUGAAGAACAGAGAAGAGGCCUGUAUGACUGGCACCAGAUGAGCAAGAAGGAACAAUGUGGUUCUGGGUGGAGUGGACAGGCUGGCCCUGAACAUGGGCAGGGGUGAGUGGGAGGAGUCUUCUCAAUGGGAAGAUGGGAGAUGGGGAGACGAUGUAUUUUGAGUUAUACAUUCAAAGCCUGAGGGAGGGCGAUGUUUGGGGAAGAGUGGAGAAGCAGGUUAAGAGUUCAGUCUUAGAUGUUUUACACGUGAGAGGUAAUGUUUAGCCUGUUUUGUUUGCUUUGUUGAAUUCGUUGACGAUCCAGGCACUUCAUCUGAGUUUGUCUUACAGAAAUUCUGCAAAUAGAUACCAUGUACGAGACUGGGUCGGGUCCCAGGAGGAAGAAUAGAAAUCAGAUAUGUUUUCUAAGCGUUCAACACUCUGCACUGUGCAGGGUGCUGGCGGUUAAGCUUCUACCCUCCCUUCCCUCCACUCCCCACUUUUUCUCUUAUGGAUAUGGUAUUUUGUAUGCAUGUGCACAUUUGCAUGUGUGCAGGCACACGUGUGUGGGAGUAAAUGUGUAUGGAGGCUGUACACCGAUGGUGAGACUGUUGCUCACUCUUCCACUGUACUCCAUGAAGCAGGGUCUCUUAGUCACUACAGAGCUCGUCCACCUGACCAGACUACAAAUCUCUCUCACCAGAUUACUGUCUCUGCCUUCCAGGGCUGGAAUUGUGCUUUAACCACCAUGCCAUCUCCCUAGUAUCCAGCUGUCUAUGCUGGGCUUCAUGAUUCUGAAGUUAGGACACAGGCAACACCAUGCAUGUAUUGUCAGAUGCCUCUGUGAGACUUCCAAAAACAGAGCAAUUGCAGGAGACAGGAAGGAAGAGAUGGUUCCCCCUUUGUCUUAGUUCCAUUUCCUGUUGUCCUGGGAAAGUAUCCCGACAAAAAACAACCUCGUGGGG